Molecule: signal recognition particle RNA, 291 nt
Filed under: Saimiri boliviensis boliviensis (Bolivian squirrel monkey)
Lineage: Eukaryota; Metazoa; Chordata; Mammalia; Primates; Cebidae
Description: Metazoan signal recognition particle RNA (ENSSBOG00000003996.1)
Rfam family: Metazoan signal recognition particle RNA
About the family: The signal recognition particle (SRP) is a universally conserved ribonucleoprotein. It is involved in the co-translational targeting of proteins to membranes. The eukaryotic SRP consists of a 300-nucleotide 7S RNA and six proteins: SRPs 72, 68, 54, 19, 14, and 9.
Source: RNAcentral
GCCAGGCGCGGUGGCACGUGCCUGUAGUCCCAGCUGUUUGGGAGGCUGAGAUGGGAGGAUCCCUUGAGCCCAGGAGUUCAGUGAGCUAUGCCGAUCGGGUGUCUGCCCUAAGUUUGGCAUCAAUAUGGUGACCUCCCGAGAGCAGGGGACCACUGGGUUGCCUAAGGAGGGGUGAACUGGCCCAGGUUGGAAACAGAGCAGGUGAAAACUCCCGUGCUGAUCAGUAAUGGGAUUGUGCCUGUGAAUAGCCACUACGCUUCAGCCUGGACAACAUAGCAAGACCCUGUCUCU